AUGCAAGUCGAACGAACCUUCGGGUUAGUGGCGGACGGGUGAGUAACGCGUGAGAAUCUGCCCUCAGGAGGGGGAUAACGGUUGGAAACGACCGCUAAUACCCCAUAUGCCGCGAGGUGAAAUGAAUUUCGCCUGAGGAUGAGCUCGCGUCUGAUUAGUUAGUUGGUGGGGUAAAGGCCUACCAAGACAUCGAUCAGUAGCUGGUCUGAGAGGAUGAUCAGCCACACUGGGACUGAGACACGGCCCAGACUCCUACGGGAGGCAGCAGUGGGGAAUUUUCCGCAAUGGGCGAAAGCCUGACGGAGCAACGCCGCGUGAGGGAUGAAGGCCUCUGGGCUGUAAACCUCUUUUAUCAAGGAAGAAGAUCUGACGGUACUUGAUGAAUAAGCCACGGCUAAUUCCGUGCCAGCAGCCGCGGUAAUACGGGAGUGGCAAGCGUUAUCCGGAAUUAUUGGGCGUAAAGCGUCCGCAGGCGGUCUGUCAAGUCUGCUGUUAAAGCGUGGAGCUUAACUCCAUUUCGGCAGUGGGAACUGACAGACUAGAGUGUGGUAGGGGCAGAGGGAAUUCCCGGUGUAGCGGUGAAAUGCGUAGAUAUCGGGAAGAACACCAGUGGCGAAGGCGCUCUGCUGGGCCAUAACUGACGCUCAUGGACGAAAGCCAGGGGAGCGAAAGGGAUUAGAUACCCCUGUAGUCCUGGCCGUAAACGAUGAACACUAAUGUCGGGGGAAUCGACCCCCUCGGUGUCGUAGCCAACGCGUUAAGUGUUCCGCCUGGGGAGUACGCACGCAAGUGUGAAACUCAAAGGAAUUGACGGGGGCCCGCACAAGCGUUGGAGUAUGUGGUUUAAUUCGAUGCAACGCGAAGACCUUACCAGGUUUGACAUUCCUGCGAAUUCUCUUGG
This 901-nucleotide ribosomal RNA is filed under the name uncultured bacterium. RNAcentral's name for it is "bacterial SSU rRNA". It matches the Rfam family "Bacterial small subunit ribosomal RNA", at positions 55 to 1004 of the family's 1533-position model. The record is from RNAcentral.